Triticum dicoccoides is the source of this 1956-nucleotide long non-coding RNA. RefSeq lists it as uncharacterized. The transcript is spliced from 6 exons. NCBI's taxonomy places the organism in Eukaryota, Viridiplantae, Streptophyta, Magnoliopsida, Poales, Poaceae. The record is from RefSeq and is a predicted model, not a curated record.
CCCUACAAUCACGCACGAAAAAGAGAAACCGGCCGCUGCGUCUCGGGCUUGCCAUCGCAAUCGAAUCAGAUCCUCAACGGCCGCUAUCCCAAUCGGAUCGCCUCACCCUCAACCGGCCGCUGCGCCUCUGGCUUGUCAUCGCAAGACCUCUCGUUGGUGUGAUCCUCCUUCCCCUCCUCACUUGAUUUCAUCCUUGCCAUCGAGUGGUCUUCAAGGGGACGCCGGUGACUCCUCCGAUGGUGGUUGUGGGGUCGUCCGGAGAGGCGGGGAGCAGCGGCGCAUUGGUGGACCGACCGGGAGUGGCCUCGCGCUAGGGUUCCUCCCCACACCCCCGCUGCGCUUCAUCUCCCUCUCGUUGCACCCCUCCCAUCUAUGGUGUCUCUCCCAGUGAGGCAUAGCGACGGGCGUUGGCUAUUCCGGCGCGUGCGCAGCACACGACGGGCCGAGGGGCGUGGGGUCGAUGGCCGGAGGUCAAAGGCGAGCGGGGGCGGCGGCUGGGGAUUGGCGUGUGCUAUUCACGGGCUGUCUGCUGGCUGUGUGCGUGGUGCACAGGUGGUAGUAGCAGCAGCCACGGGCUUUUCUCUGAAUUUGCAUCAACAACAGCAAUAGCAGGGUCACGGACAGGAUCAUCAAAUCCCUCUGAAUUCUUGCCGGUUCAGGUUCUUUCCGUGCACCGGCUGAUCGAGGUGGUGAAGCACAUGUUAGCCGUGAGGAGGGACCUCGGCAACCCCGGCUUCGUCAAUGUCGCCGGUAACGCGUCCGAGAUGAUGUCGCCGAAGUUAGCCGGAGUUCUUGACUUACUAUCUUGUCUUCUGAACUACUAUCUCUGAAUUUAUUUAAGGUUACUUCUCAUAUCUCUGUUCUAAAGUAAAUGCAACAUGUGUCUUGCUUGUUAUGUGUAUGUGCAACAGAUUUGUGCUACAAAGAAGGGUUCAUGUGCAAGGAAGCAUAGAAUAUAUGAGGCAAAAAAAGAAAGAAAAUGAUCAAGGGUAGAAUCAUGCUUGGGAAAUCCAUACGAAAAUCUGAAGUAUGGGUGUUUAAAAAUCUUCCCUUUGUGACUGCUUGGAAAUCUGAAGUAUCAAGACUGUUCUAUUCAUAUAUGAUUUUUUUAGUAUGAGGCACAAAACAUGCUUACUGAUAUAUAGUUUUGAAAUCAUGCUUGGGAUUUUCUCCCUCCCAUGUUAUAUCCAAUAUUUGCUGUCAAACCUGAACCUGAAUAUCCUGAACCAUUUUCAUUUGUAUUUGAUAGUAGGAUAAAUAACUGCUCCAAAGUCAUCAAGCCAUCAUCAUUCACGGGUUUAAUUUGCAGGUGCUCUAAAAGAAUAGAGGUACGGUUCUGAAAGAUUAGAUGUUGAUCCAAACCUUGCUUGAGUGCAGGUCCAUGAGUCCAGCCUACAGACAACUCAUACAACAAAACAGAGUGAACAACUUAAUCUCUUGUAUGCCUAACUAUGCGGAUAUAGAACUAUGGAGUGGAAUGUACAAAGUCAGCAACCUCAUGACGAGAAGGGAUAACCUUGAUGCAGACCAACAUCUUUGGCUCCACUAUUAUUGAUGAAAACUGGAUGUGAUUGUUGGACAAACUGCAGUUACAAAUAGUAUUCCUCAUUUGACUCUUGUGGGGAGAGAGAUAAAAUAAAUCUGCCAUCAGUAGGCGAGUUCCAACACUGGAUGGCAAGGCAAUGCUCUGUUUGGAAAUAGUUAUUCGCUUGAAGGAGGUAGAAGGCGGUGCAGCAGCUGCAGUUUUCACCUCAUUUGUGCUAGCCAUUUUUUUCUUGAAGAUUUGUGCCAGCCAAUUUGGGUAUGGGUGAUGCUCAUGGAAGCUAUUCUAUGUAGCUCACGGAUUGUCUUGCCUAUAUAAUUCUUGAUGUAGCUGAUGAUUGAAUCCUGGAAUGCUAGGAUUCCAUGAAUGGAAAAUGCGUGUGCAAGAUUGGUACAUUUUGUGAUGGAAGGAUU